UCAAGAUUAGUCUAAAAAUGCUGAGCAAUAGAAGCAGGUGUCUGGAUUAAGUUAGGAACAUUAGACCCUGGUAUAGUCCAAAUUUUCAGCAUUUUUUUUAUAAUCCCUUUCUAAAAAACACAUGCAGCAGUUGACAAGUCCUGCACCGAAGAGUUUAGUGUCAUGGCAAUCAUGAAAAAAAAAAAACCUGAUGGGAUGUGGGUACCUAAACCCAAGUGUGCAGUUCUCUUCCAGAAGUCCACGGUAUCUGAGAGAACCCCACCUCCCUGGGAACCCCACCAUUUCUGCUGCAGCAGCUGGAAGCCAGCCAGAAUACCAAAGGACACGAAGGCUUUAGGAACUCAAAAGUUAUUCUUUAGCAAAUAUUCCUACCUUGGGUCAUCCAUAGAGAGAUGGUGUUAGGAGCAGACCUGGAAUUAAUUUCUUUGUGCAGGUUACCAUGCAAUACAGGCAAAGUUGUCCUCCAUCCAUAUUUUGGGUUGUCACUUCUAACACCUGAAUUUGUACAUUGGUACCAGUAAGGAGCUCCUUCCCAGCUGUAAAGCCUGCAGUGCUUGCAGAGGUGUCCCACUGCCUUUCUGGCUCAUUGUUUGUAACACUGCUGCCACCUCAGGUCUCUGAUCCCAUGAGCAGAACUACUGAUCCUUCCCACACCUGCUCACAGAGCACAUACUCACCUGGCAUGUUUUACAAGGGCCCUUUUAAUGCAAGGUGACACCAAUGAGCAUUGGUCUUAACUCAUUUUUAGGAGCUGAUUUCCAGGUUCAGCGAUACCAGCACUGUAGAAUGAACCAAGAACAAUGCUGGCCACUCUAAGCUGUGAUGUCCUAAAUUGGAGCUCUGGAUUUUAGAUUUACCAAAUCCCUUGAUCUUAAACAUGUCAAGAACUCUGUUGGAACCUGAUUGCUGGCUUCCAUGAUUGGCAGUGGGCACGAGUUUAUGCACCUCACUGAACAUGAGUUUAAAUGAUGACACUGAACAGCUGUGUGACAUGAAAUAAAUCACUUCAUAAAAAUGCCUGGUGUUCUCACUAAUGUAAAACUGAGAUCUGUCCCACUGGCACAUUUUGAAAAGCACUAGAAAAAUGUUUUUAUCUGAAUGGCAAAUAAUAGAUGAAUUCAUGCUUAACUUGCAUUUUUCCAUUUUAGAAAAAUUAGUUUAAAAAAACCUAUCAUAGCAGCACAGUAAUGAUAAUUGCAGCUUAAUUACCCAUAACUGAUUCUUUAUGCCCUGAAAUAAUUUAUUCUCCUUUUAUACUUGUCUCUGAUAUCCAUUUGAGUCAUUACAACUGUGAGUCUGUAAUUACAUAUUUUGCAUUUUAACAUUCUAUGCCAGUAUGUGCUCUCUUCUUAUCUUUCAGCUAAUUUCAUUACCGAAACACCAAGAAAAUUUCCAUAUGAAUUUUCCAGAAGGUUUUGGGGUAGGUCUAGCAGUUAAUGAAGCCUAGAGAGACUGUUCUUAGGACACAGCUUUUGUAUGUGCUCACCAGUCUGGCUUUGCCAACUGCUCUGUGCAGGCUGCACCGUGGUGGGACUUUGGCAUUGGGUGGACGUUAGGACACAACUAAGUGCUUGGGAGAAGAGAGGUCAGAUUUUGUCUGUGUUAUGUUUGAAGAUAAAGCUGAGAAAGCUCUUGACAAGGCUCUUCCAGGACUCAGGUUCACUUCUGCCUGGUGGCACCACCAGUAGGAGACACAGCACUGCCAAAAGCCAGGACUUUUCCUUGUUCCAAGUAAGCAUGCUCUAUGCCAAGCUGCAUGCGCUCGUAUCCUUUAGCGUUGGUAGAAAAUUUGGUAAAAUCAUUGCAAUAAAGCAGAAAAUGUGCUCUUUGCUCUCUCGCAAUCUCACCUUGCUAAAUGCCUUCCUGUCUCAAUUGCCAAAAGGUUAGUCAGAAUCUGGCCCAGAAAUGUGACUGUGUGGGCCACACUCUAGUUCCUUCACCAAACACCAGGGAGAUGCCAACACCCAAAGGGGCCAAGGCGGUUUAAUGCUUGCCUUGAAGAAUCUUAAACUAAAAACCUGUUUUCUAGCUAUCCCUCUGACUCACCAAAAGCUGCCAAACACAUCAUUUACUCUAUCUUUCAGAUUUGCCUGUUUGUAAGACUAGAGUCUUGCUACCUAUACUGACAGGAUCCUACCAGAAAUUGUCUGUAACCUCCCCGUGACAAGAGCCAAUGCAGCAGUAUUUACAAUCCCUUCACUCCAACAGCUGUUUCAGAGACAGAAAUGCAUUUUUUUCCAUGGGUAACAUGGCCUGGGCAAGAUUGCUUGGAAGAUGCAAAUAUUAAAAUAAAAUGGAAGUAUGAUAAUGCUUUUUAAUGGACAAAUUAAGCUGAAUGACAAACACAAGAUUGUGCAAUAUAAAUUUCACACAGAGGGCAAGUAAAAACUGAGUCGCAUGCAGCAAUUGGAACAAAUUAAUCUGAUUUUCCCAUGCCACAUUUUUACAACACAGAAUCAAAAGAGCCUGAAAAUGAAACAUUAAAGUGAAUUUCCUACUAGAAUUUAACAAAGAAAGUACCCUGUCAUUUCCUCAGCUGGAAAGGGCAUAUUUGGAUUGAGUCAGGGAUUUAUUUUCUUAAAUAAUAAAACACCUUCCUCCCUCCUUCUCUCCCAAGUUCAUUAUUGUUUAGAUCAAGACUGGGACAAAUCAGUGAGAUAAGGAGAGUAAGGUUAUCAGUAUUUCUGGGGCAGAGAUUUUACUCUUUAGGAGCAUAUGCUGCAUGGAGCCACAUGAUCAUGGAGUGAAAAAUGAAGUGACUACAAUUAUUACCUGAUGUUCCUCUUUAAUUCCCCCAAUCAGUAACCUUCACAGCAGUCCAAGUGGCUAUAGUGGCUGUGCUAGUUUUGGCCUGUCCCUGCAUUUUCACACCUCCCCAAGCAGCACCAACACAGCAGUGUGUUAAAAAAAAAACUUUAAAAAAAAAGUUAAGUCAAAAGGAGACAGUUGUUACCAGCUUUCCUGUUUUGAAUGGGUUGGAAAUAGGCCAAAAGCUGGGUGCUGGAGCUCAGCAGUGGAUUUGUGCAUACUGGAAGACAGCUCCAACUGAGCACUAUUACAGCUGCUGAGCACACACAGGUCUUUGAAGCCGCAUCUCCUUACACACCCCGCCACAGUCCAGCAGGCAAGGGACACCCUUCAUGUGCAGCUGGAAUCCCAGCCAUAAAGCAUAUUCCUCAUGGGCAAAAAAAGUCUUCUCACAGCUAAGUUCCCAGCAGUGUUUCCCUGCUGGACUGGCUGGGAUUCCCUGGCAAAGUAACAGCCAGCAGCAAGUGAUGCAGGCUGGCCGUGACAACUGCUCGUUGAAUACUGCUUAGGCAAAGGGGCACAACUCAGUGCUAGUAUUUCUUUAGCGAUUCUAGAAGAGUGAAACAGCUUUGGGCUGAGAUGCUGGAGUCCACAAGUUAAGACCCUAAGGUGAAAAUGCAGUCCCAUUACCACUACUGUAUUUGUUGCUAUGGAGCAUUUUGAGACCAUGGAGGCCUGUGUUGAAGGCACAGUGCCAAGCCCCUUCUCUGCCAUCAGCUCUGUUCUUGCAUUUAAAGUUUCUGCAACUUGUGUGUCUUUUCAGCAGUAUUACAGUCCUCAUCCCAGACCACGACAUGAAUACAAGUAGAAGAAUUAACAAGGUCUCUGCAUGAAAGAGAAGCACAAAGGUUUUCCCUGUUCUCCACUGCCUCUGCCAGCACCUGCUCCGAAACUCCCAUCUGGGGUUGCUGCUUGCAGCUACUGACUGCACACUGAACAAGCAUCAGCUCACAUCUGUCUUCACAACCAGCCAACAGUGCUCACCCAACUGCACCUAAGCACGUUCAACAAUGGGUCAAGGAUGCCUGAGGAAAACCAGCAGCUCGGAAGCAGCAGCUGGAGGGGAGCCAGCAGGAACCUGACCAGCAGCUGGCUGGUCCUGAGUUUUUUAAGCUCAGUCAGUAUCUAUCCUUGCAGAAGUGGAAAAGCUGCAAGGCUUAUGAAUUUCAGAUACCUUUGUCUAUAGGAAGCAAAUGAAACCCUGAAACAUUUUUCAACUUACACCACAUCCCAUGCCUUCUGCAGAUGAAAGGAAAGGCAGAAGUCUGGGACCACAGACUUCCUCCUCCUCCUCCUCCUCCUCUCACAGAGACCAGCCUAGUCGGAAGGAAAUGUCUAGUGCUUAUCUCCAUUUCAGAAAACAGACACAGCCUCUGGUGGAAAAAACACAGGCAAAGUCCAAGGGAAACCCUGGGGGCAAAACCAGCAACUUUGGAUCAAACCUCCUCAGUAUUUGCAGCUUAGGAGAAGUCUGGCUUUUUCGGAGCCAUGCUUUUAUGCUGUGCAAUAGUCUGGCUCAGGAGUACUGUUCACUGCACUCUUGACAAUAAAGCAAUGCCAGCUUACAAAAACCACAUGCCUGAAGGCAGCGUGGCAGGAGGGCACGUUCACAACGCACCCAAGCUCUCCUUGUGCAACUUCUUUCCGGGCCCACACUCACAUUUCUAAGAUUUUCACUGUCCUUUCUCUGUAAAAGCAAAAAUUGCAGUUCUCAAAAGAGCAAUUGCACCAGGAGAUUGGCCUUUAAGGAAAAAAAAAAAAAGAAGGAAAAAAAAACCAACAACAACAAAAGCCCUCAAAACCCCACAUUUACUGUCAAAGUCUCUGAAAUUAUGAGAUUUGACAAUAAGUCUUUUGUUCUUGUGGCAACAUGCAACUAGGCAACAUGCAGCUUGAUUUCUGCAGCCAGUAGAUAUUCAAAGUACUUUUCACAUACAAUAGGUGUCAAUUUGACUUUAUUUAAGGAAAAACGGGGAAAAAACAGUAAUUUCCAUAAUACACAGAAGACAAGUUAGAUAGCACUGCAAAAAAAAGGCUGAGUGUUUUACUUGUCACCAGUCUGCUUUGCAGCUCUACGAUUAGUAAUUUUAAUGCAGUUUGUCAUUUUGUAUUAUUGUUUAGCAUCUUUAUAAUCAGCAGAGUUUGGGGUUAUAAAUCACAAAAAGUGUACUACUACUACUAUGAAAAACUAAAAAACCCACAAAAAUCACUUUCAAAUAAACCAUAAAUAUGUGAUGCACAUUAGUGUAACAAAACCAUUUUUGUAAACAUUUUCUCCAACAUAACAUGUGCAUAAGAUAAAAAAUAAAAACACUGCAGUCAUACAAGUUAGGGUUACUUUGACUUAAAGAUACAGAAAAUUAUUACUUAUUAAAGCUUAAAACUAAACCUAGGAGCUUUUCUUUUCUUCUUUGCUUACAAAAGCACUGUUUGAAGAGUUCCAUGUUGGUAUGCGAAGUGGUUUUGUAAUACUGUUUUUACUUUGCCAUGCUGGCGCUUCUGCGGAGGCAGAAGCUGCCAGAUGGGCAGGCCCUCUGAAGGAAGGAGAUUUCCACCCUCCCCCAGAGCCUGAAAACUUCAACAGCACAUAUCCAUGACCUGGACAUCCCUAUAGCACUGGAGCAUCUUCCUCUAGGUGAAUAGCAUCAGCUUUCAAGGACUAGAUUAAUUUUGACCACAUAGCACUGGAAGAUUUAAAUCACGCAGACUGACAUUCGAUCGAAUCAGCUUCGGCAAACUACACUACAGGGCAGCUCUGUGAUCACACCCAUGUCUACCAUCACGCUGGAUUUCCGAGUCCCCUUUAGUUCAUUAUAGUACAAAAGGUUGAUCGUUCUUCUGGCUGACCACACCGGGCCUGAAAAGAACACAUCCUUCACCUUCAACACUAUCCAAAAGUCAUACAAUUAAAAAAAAAUAGUUCUAGGUAUUCCUCCGCCAGCAAAUGUAAGGCUUUCUUGAGUUUUGAUUCUUUUUGGGGGGUGGGGGAGUGGGGGUUGCUGUGUGCACACGCAUGCGCUGGAGGUACGCAAUUACCGCGCGCUUUUCAACCUCUGCGGCGUUCGAAGGAGAGUCCUCAGCAGCAGCGCUGGUCGGGGUUGAAGGAUUUACAGCAGUCAGAUCUGACACCAAAAGAAGGGUCUGUUGAGUCUGAGCUUUGCACACUUGGUGCUCUUGGCUCUUAAUUGAUUGUGUGACCAGUCGCUCGAGCCAUCAGCUUGACUGAAUUGAAGAAAACGUGUUUAAAAAGCCCUACCUGUCAUGCCAUGAAGGAAAGUUAACCACAGCAGAAGACAAAGCCCAUGAAACACUGAGAGCCUGUUCACUAAAUGAACAGCUUAAGGCAGCUGUCAGCAAAGUACCCCACCAAAGGAAUUAAGGGGGAAAAAAAAAAAGAAAACAAAAAGGAAAAUGGCUGAAUCGUGACACUGUGCAUUAUUACAACACCAACAGAUUAUUAUACACUCAAGAUUUCUCAAGUAAUGAACAUGUAGCCACUAAACAAAUUAUUACUCUCAAGACAUUUAUUAAAAAUGUCAGAACUUAUUCAUAAAAUAAAACUGACUUAAAAAAAAAAAAAAGAAAGGAAAAAAGCCAGAGCUGGGAUCUUACAUCUAAACACAGGUAUACGCUGUUUUUAUGAAUAAGCAGUAUUAACUACAUUCUUAAAAGAGUUUUAGUGCAUUGCAUUCUUAAAAAAGAAAAACAUCACCGCCCCAAAAUGUUUCCUACAACAUUUAACAAUUUAUAGAACUAGCCUAGUUACUUUUACCUGCCUGUUACUAAGCCCAUGUGUUAGAAGAGUCAAACCUCUGGUUUAGGCUAAAUUCAUACUUCUGUUAAGGAUGAAACUGGUUUAUAAAAUGCUUGCUUUACCAAAUUUUGUAAGCAGAUUACAUUGAUCAGUGUCUCACUGCCAUACCGCUACGACUAUUGCCCCUACUCGCUCCUCCUGCUGAAACUUGCUAUGCAAUAACAGUCAGAAACCUUUCAAUCUGGUAGUUUUGGUAUUAAGAUUAAAUUAGACAUUAAUGGUUUUCUUCUAAAAACGUAUAAACUAAACCACCUCUUUUAUUUUAUGCAUUAAAAACAAUGAGGUAGGCACAAAAAAAUAAACAUAUGUAGUUUGGAUUUUAUUCCUUUUUUUCUUUUUUUCUUUUUUUUUUUAAGUUCUGCGAGUGCAGACUGUGGUAAAACUGUUGUUGCACUUCUAGGUUUAAACAAAAAUUAAACCUUUAACUGAGGCAGUGCUAAUACUGUGACAUAACCAAGUUCUGGCCUAACACAGAAUCAUUAUAGAAAAUGAAUUUUUUUUUUCCUUUUUUUUUUAAUAUCACCUGCACAUGUUUCAGGCAACACCUGGUACACAGAAAAUGACUAAAGUUAUUGGCCAGGCCAAAAUAAAACUGCAGAAACAAAAAAAACCCUAAGAAUUCCACCCCAAGCCCCUUCCCACCCUCCCUGUCCCCAAAAAGAAGUUAUCCUAGUCACUGUGUCUUUCACAUUUUAUAAAUAUUAACUUCUUAAAACCUGCACCUUCCUCUUUGUCCACAUAUUGUCACAUUACAAAAAAGAAAUGUCAAUUAAAUACAUUGUUAACAUUACUAGACUAGAUCUGCCCUCUGUUUCAGCCAGUCUGAUUCUCUACACCACUUCUCACCUUCUCUUGCCUGCCUCUUGUCCACUCAACAAACAGCAUGGUCAUGGUAAGCCUGGUUUGUUUUUCUUCCUUUUUUCCCUCCCUCCUCUGUUUUAACACUAACAAACAGAGUCCUUCAAAUCCUAGGAAUACUGGAGCUGAAGGGAAAAGAAGACCUGUAGCUUUCUAGCGUGAUCCCAAAUCUCAAAGACAUUGUAGCACCUGAUGGCAAUAUCUUUACAGCACCAGCUGCGUCGCA
Long non-coding RNA from Passer domesticus (house sparrow), 7706 nucleotides. RefSeq lists it as uncharacterized. NCBI's taxonomy places the organism in Eukaryota, Metazoa, Chordata, Aves, Passeriformes, Passeridae. The transcript has 2 exons. The record is from RefSeq and is a predicted model, not a curated record.